UACGUAGGGUGCAAGCGUUACUCGGAAUUACUGGGCGUAAGGCGUGCGCAGGCGGUUGUGCAAGACCGAUGUGAAAUCCCCGGGCUUAACCUGGGAACUGCAUUUGUGACUGCAUGGCUAGAGUGUGUCAGAGGGGGGUAGAAUUCCACGUGUAGCAGUGAAAUGCGUAGAUAUGUGGAGGAAUACCGAUGGCGAAGGCAGCCCCCUGGGAUAACACUGACGCUCAUGCACGAAAGCGUGGGGAGCAAACAGG
Molecule: ribosomal RNA, 253 nt
Filed under: uncultured bacterium
Lineage: Bacteria
Description: partial 16S ribosomal RNA
Rfam family: Bacterial small subunit ribosomal RNA
Source: RNAcentral